UGGGGAAUUUUGGACAAUGGGGGCAACCCUGAUCCAGCAAUGCCGCGUGUGUGAAGAAGGCCUUCGGGUUGUAAAGCACUUUUGUCCGGAAAGAAAUCUCCUUGGCUAAUACCCUGGGGGGAUGACGGUACCGGAAGAAUCAGCACCGGCUAACUACGUGCCAGCAGCCGCGGUAAUACGUAGGGUGCAAGCGUUAAUCGGAAUUACUGGGCGUAAAGCGUGCGCAGGCGGUUGGGCAAGACAGAGGUGAAAUCCCCGGGCUUAACCUGGGAAUGGCCUUUGUGACUGCCCGGCUAGAGUGUGUCAGAGGGGGGUAGAAUUCCACGUGUAGCAGUGAAAUGCGUAGAGAUGUGGAGGAAUACCGAUGGCGAAGGCAGCCCCCUGGGAUAACACUGACGCUCAGGCACGAAAGCGUGGGGAGCAAACAG
Molecule: ribosomal RNA, 428 nt
Filed under: uncultured bacterium
Lineage: Bacteria
Description: bacterial SSU rRNA
Rfam family: Bacterial small subunit ribosomal RNA
Source: RNAcentral